This 497-nucleotide ribosomal RNA is filed under the name uncultured bacterium. RNAcentral's name for it is "partial 16S ribosomal RNA". It matches the Rfam family "Bacterial small subunit ribosomal RNA", at positions 28 to 507 of the family's 1533-position model. The record is from RNAcentral.
GAUGAACGCUGGCGGCGUGCCUAAUACAUGCAAGUCGAGCGAACAGACGAGGAGCUUGCUCCUCUGACGUUAGCGGCGGACGGGUGAGUAACACGUGGAUAACCUACCUAUAAGACUGGGAUAACUUCGGGAAACCGGAGCUAAUACCGGAUAAUAUAUUGAACCGCAUGGUUCAAUAGUGAAAGACGGUUUUGCUGUCACUUAUAGAUGUAUCCGCGCCGCAUUAGCUAGUUGGUAAGGUAACGGCUUACCAAGGCAACGAUGCGUAACCGACCUGAGAGGGUGAUCGGCCACACUGGAACUGAGACACGGUCCAGACUCCUACGGGAGGCAGCAGUAGGGAAUCUUCCGCAAUGGGCGAAAGCCUGACGGAGCAACGCCGCGUGAGUGAUGAAGGUCUUCGGAUCGUAAAACUCUGUUAUUAGGGAAGAACAAAUGUGUAAGUAACUAUGCACGUCUUGACGGUACCUAAUCAGAAAGCCACGGCUAACUACGUG